This 254-nucleotide ribosomal RNA is filed under the name uncultured bacterium. RNAcentral describes it as "partial 16S ribosomal RNA". It matches the Rfam family "Bacterial small subunit ribosomal RNA", at positions 524 to 776 of the family's 1533-position model. The record is from RNAcentral.
UACGGAGGGUGCGAGCGUUGUCCGGAAUCACUGGGCGUAAAGGGCGCGUAGGCGGCUCAUGAAGGCUGUGGUGAAAGUCCGGGGCUCAACCUCGGAUCGGCCGUGGCGACUCGUGGGCUGGAGCACUGUAGAGGCGGGUGGAAUUCCGGGUGUAGCGGUGGAAUGCGUAGAGAUCCGGGAAGAACACCAGUGGCGAAGGCGGCCCGCUGGGCAGUGGCUGACGCUGAAGCGCGACAGCGUGGGGAGCAAACAGG